This 628-nucleotide long non-coding RNA is filed under the name Pongo abelii (Sumatran orangutan). RNAcentral describes it as "lincRNA". The record is from RNAcentral. Lineage: Eukaryota; Metazoa; Chordata; Mammalia; Primates; Hominidae.
GGUAUGAGAGUCAUUUGUGGCAUAACCUCAGCAGACAUCAUAGGGCUGACUUUGAGUUUAAUUAUGAAAUUUCCAAAUGAGGAUGUCCAGGAACCAAAUAGAUAUGUGAGUUAGAAGCUCAGAAAGCAGGUCACCAUCACCUCUUACCUGAUCAUUGCAACACCUGCUUACUUGUCCGCCUAUCACAAGAUCUGACUCCUGACAAUUCACCAUGCAUAAUGAGAGGGAUAAAAACCUUAUAUAUGAAACUUUCACUAAUAACCUGAAACAUCACCACAGAGACAGUCGGGUUAUCCUGUUUGUUUAGACAUCCACUUAUUCACUUGCAAUGCAGGAAAUAUAUUUGGAAAAAAACAAAAAACAAAACAUGAUCAGUUACUUGAUGCAAUCAUGAGAUGUGCUCCAGAAAAACUUAUUAAGGAAUUAUUUCAUCAGAGUCAGUCUCUCUCAACAAGGUAAGCUACUUUUUCAAUGUUUCUGAUUAGAGUAGAUCCUUGAUGUUUAUUAUCAGUGUCACCAUCAUUAAUGAAAAUAGUAUGAGAACAUACAAAGAUGCAUAAGUGAGUAAUGGUGUACCAUUCUAACAUUUCUAAGAUGUGAAUUUGGAUCUUGCAUGACAAGAUCCAAA